AUGGAUGAAAACCAAUGCCCCAUUCUUAGUUGGAAUGUGCGGGGACUCAACAUGCCGGCCAAGCGUGAUGCGGUCUGCGAGUCUGCCGCAGCACACCGGCCGACGAUUUUCUGCCGCCAGGAAACUAAAAUCGACGUGUCGUCACUGGCCAUAGUCAAGGAUGUAGGCGGCCGCCAGCUAACUGACAGUGUAGUUCUGCCUGCGAUAGGUUCUAGAGGAGGGGCGGCAAUCCUGUGGGACAGAUUGUCUCGAUCGCUUCCCAUGCCAUCGGAGAAGUUUGCCAUUACAGUCAAGGUCACAGUACUCCGUUCGGCUUCCACGUUCUAGCUAACCACAGUCUGCGGACCGACGGAUGACGCCAGGAAAGAUCAAUUUAUGGCAGAGCUAGUUAGAUCAGCGUCGCCCCCAGGUGACCCCUGGCUGCUCACAGGAGAUUUCAAUGUCAUAUAUGAGGCUAGGGACAAAAGCAACUCGAACUUCAACAUGCGCAUCAUGGGUAGAUUUCGAGCUGCGAUCGAUAUGGCAUAUCUGCGUGAGAUCAAGUGUAAGAAUAGGCGCUUCACCUAG
Molecule: ribosomal RNA, 567 nt
Filed under: Triticum aestivum (bread wheat)
Lineage: Eukaryota; Viridiplantae; Streptophyta; Magnoliopsida; Poales; Poaceae
Description: partial small subunit ribosomal RNA
Source: RNAcentral